RNAcentral lists this ribosomal RNA (470 nucleotides) under uncultured bacterium. RNAcentral's name for it is "bacterial SSU rRNA". It matches the Rfam family "Bacterial small subunit ribosomal RNA", at positions 330 to 793 of the family's 1533-position model. The record is from RNAcentral.
CUGUGACUCCUACGGGAGGCAGCAGUGGGGAAUAUUGCACAAUGGGGGAAACCCUGAUGCAGCCAUGCCGCGUGUGUGAAGAAGGCCUUCGGGUUGUAAAGCACUUUCAGUAGGGAGGAAGGUAGUGUAGUUAACACCUGCACUAUUUGACGUUACCUACAGAAGAAGCACCGGCUAACUCCGUGCCAGCAGCCGCGGUAAUACGGAGGGUGCGAGCGUUAAUCGGAAUUACUGGGCGUAAAGCGCAUGCAGGCGGCCUGUUAAGUCAGAUGUGAAAGCCCGGGGCUUAACCUCGGAAUUGCAUUUGAAACUGGCAGGCUAGAGUCUUGUAGAGGGGGUAGAAUUUCAGGUGUAGCGGUGAAAUGCGUAGAGAUCUGAAGGAAUACCAGUGGCGAAGGCGGCCCCCUGGACAAAGACUGACGCUCAGAUGCGAAAGCGUGGGGAGCAAACAGGAUUAGAUACCCUGGUAG